GAAGAGCCGCCCCACUCCCUCCAUAUCCUCUCCCAAGAUGCUGCUCCACUACGAAACUAUUGUGAAGAGCUUCCCUGCUCCAGUGAAACCAUAACACCGCUCUUCUUCUCCUUUCCCUCAUAUGUGAACCAUUGGAGAACAGAUACAAAAAGACUUUUGCACCUCAAAAACUUGAAAUUAUGGUUCUCAUUCUUUUUUUUUUAGUUCAGGAUUUUAAGAGGUGUUGAUGUCAUGUUCCCUGAAAAAUGUUUCUUGAAGUUUAACCACGAUGGAUGGAGAAGUCAACCCGUCAAUGAAAAUUCAAGUGGAAUCAUCACCACAUUGGAGGCUAGGAAAUCUGUCCAAAGAUGAAUGCGGAGGUUUUUGAGCGAAGAAAUGCAGAAG
This is a long non-coding RNA of Solanum pennellii, 384 nucleotides long. RefSeq lists it as uncharacterized. NCBI's taxonomy places the organism in Eukaryota, Viridiplantae, Streptophyta, Magnoliopsida, Solanales, Solanaceae. The transcript is spliced from 3 exons. The record is from RefSeq and is a predicted model, not a curated record.